RNAcentral lists this ribosomal RNA (439 nucleotides) under uncultured bacterium. RNAcentral describes it as "partial 16S ribosomal RNA". It matches the Rfam family "Bacterial small subunit ribosomal RNA", at positions 338 to 795 of the family's 1533-position model. The record is from RNAcentral.
CCUACGGGGGGCAGCAGUGGGGAAUAUUGCACAAUGGGGGAAACCCUGAUGCAGCGACGCCGCGUGAGUGAAGAAGUAUUUCGGUAUGUAAAGCUCUAUCAGCAGGGAAGAAAAUGACGGUACCUGACUAAGAAGCCCCGGCUAACUACGUGCCAGCAGCCGCGGUAAUACGUAGGGGGCAAGCGUUAUCCGGAUUUACUGGGUGUAAAGGGAGCGUAGACGGCCAGACAAGUCAGAAGUGAAAGCCCAUGGCUCAACCCUGGGACUGCUUUUGAAACUGCCGGGCUGGAGUGCAGGAGGGGUAAGCGGAAUUCCUGGUGUAGCGGUGAAAUGCGUAGAUAUUAGGAGGAACACAAGUGGCGAGGGCGGCUACUGGACUGUAACUGACGUUGAGGCUCGAAAGCGUGGGGAGCAAACAGGAUUAGAUACCCGAGUAGUC